This 497-nucleotide ribosomal RNA is filed under the name uncultured bacterium. Its description in RNAcentral is "partial 16S ribosomal RNA". It matches the Rfam family "Bacterial small subunit ribosomal RNA", at positions 28 to 507 of the family's 1533-position model. The record is from RNAcentral.
GAUGAACGCUGGCGGCGUGCCUAAUACAUGCAAGUCGAGCGAACAGACGAGGAGCUUGCUCCUCUGACGUUAGCGGCGGACGGGUGAGUAACACGUGGAUAACCUACCUAUAAGACUGGGAUAACUUCGGGAAACCGGAGCUAAUACCGGAUAAUAUAUUGAACCGCAUGGUUCAAUAGUGAAAGACGGUUUUGCGGUCACUUAUAGAUGGAUCCGCGCCGCAUUAGCUAGUUGGGAAGGGAACGGCUUACCAAGGCAACGAUGCGUAGCCGACCUGAGAGGGUGAUCGGCCACACUGGAACUGAGACACGGUCCAGACUCCUACGGGAGGCAGCAGUAGGGAAUCUUCCGCAAUGGGCGAAAGCUUGACGGAGCAACGCCGCGUGAGUGAUGAAGGUCUUCGGAUCGUAAAACUCUGUUAUUAGGGAAGAACAAAUGUGUAAGUAACUAUGCACGUCUUGACGGUACCUAAUCAGAAAGCCACGGCUAACUACGUG